This 253-nucleotide ribosomal RNA is filed under the name uncultured bacterium. Its description in RNAcentral is "partial 16S ribosomal RNA". It matches the Rfam family "Bacterial small subunit ribosomal RNA", at positions 524 to 776 of the family's 1533-position model. The record is from RNAcentral.
UACGUAGGGACCAAGCGUUGUUCGGAUUUACUGGGCGUAAAGGGCGCGUAGGCGGCUUGACAAGUCACUUGUGAAAUCUCCGGGCUUAACUCGGAACGGCCAAGUGAAACUGUCAUGCUAGAGUGCAGAAGGGGCAAUCGGAAUUCUUGGUGUAGCGGUGAAAUGCGUAGAUAUCCGCAGGAACAUCCGAGGCGAAAGCGGCUCGCUGGAUCGCAACUGACGCUGAGGGACGAAAGCUAGGGGAGCAAACAGG